CGAAAGGCGUAGGCGAUGGACAACAGGUUGAUAUUCCUGUACCACCUCCUCACCAUUUGAGCAAUGGGGGGACGCAGGAGGAUAGGGUAAGCGCGGUAUUGGAUAUCCGCGUCCAAGCAGUUAGGCUGGGAAAUAGGCAAAUCCGUUUCCCAUAAGGCUGAGCUGUGAUGGCGAGCGAAAUAUAGUAGCGAAGUUCCUGAUUCCACACUGCCAAGAAAAGCCUCUAGCGAGGUGAGAGGUGCCCGUACCGCAAACCGUCACAGGUAGGCGAGGAGAGAAUCCUAAGGUGAUCGAGAGAACUCUCGUUAAGGAACUCGGCAAAAUGACCCCGUAACUUCGGGAGAAGGGGUGCUCUGUUAGGGUGCAAGCCCGAGAGAGCCGCAGUGAAUAGGCCCAGGCGACUGUUUAGCAAAAACACAGGUCUCUGCGAAGCCGUAAGGCGAAGUAUAGGGGCUGACGCCUGCCCGGUGCUGGAAGGUUAAGAGGAGCGCUUAGCGUAAGCGAAGGUGCGAAUUGAAGCCCCAGUAAACGGCGGCCGUAACGAUAACGGUCCUAAGGUAGCGAAAUUCCUUGUCGGGUAAGUUCCGACCCGCACGAAAGGCGCAACGAUCUGGGCACUGUCUCAACGAGAGACUCGGUGAAAUUAUAGUACCUGUGAAGAUGCAGGUUACCCGCGACAGGACGGAAAGACCCCGUGGAGCUUUACUGCAGCCUGAUAUUGAAUGUUGGUACAGCUUGUACAGGAUAGGUAGGAGCCUUGGAAACCGGAGCGCCAGCUUCGGUGGAGGCAUCGGUGGGAUACUACCCUGGCUGUAUUGACCUUCUAACCCGCCGCCCUUAUCGGGCGGGGAGACAGUGUCAGGUGGGCAGUUUGACUGGGGCGGUCGCCUCCUAAAAGGUAACGGAGGCGCCCAAAGGUUCCCUCAGAAUGGUUGGAAAUCAUUCGCAGAGUGUAAAGGCACAAGGGAGCUUGACUGCGAGACCUACAAGUCGAGCAGGGACGAAAGUCGGGCUUAGUGAUCCGGUGGUUCCGCAUGGAAGGGCCAUCGCUCAACGGAUAAAAGCUACCCCGGGGAUAACAGGCUUAUCUCCCCCAAGAGUCCACAUCGACGGGGAGGUUUGGCACCUCGAUGUCGGCUCAUCGCAUCCUGGGGCUGUAGUCGGUCCCAAGGGUUGGGCUGUUCGCCCAUUAAAGCGGUACGCGAGCUGGGUUCAGAACGUCGUGAGACAGUUCGGUCCCUAUCCGUCGCGGGCGCAGGAAAUUUGAGAGGAGCUGUCCUUAGUACGAGAGGACCGGGAUGGACGCACCGCUGGUGUACCAGUUGUUCUGCCAAGGGCAUCGCUGGGUAGCUAUGUGCGGACGGGAUAAGUGCUGAAAGCAUCUAAGCAUGAAGCCCCCCUCAAGAUGAGAUUUCCCAUUCCGCAGGGAAGUAAGAUCCCUGAAAGAUGAUCAGGUUGAUAGGUCUGAGGUGGAAGUGUGGCAACACAUGGAGCUGACAGAUACUAAUCGAUCGAGGACUUAAAC
This 1525-nucleotide ribosomal RNA is filed under the name metagenome. RNAcentral's name for it is "bacterial LSU rRNA". It matches the Rfam family "Bacterial large subunit ribosomal RNA", at positions 1403 to 2925 of the family's 2925-position model. The record is from RNAcentral.